RNAcentral lists this ribosomal RNA (1047 nucleotides) under Triticum aestivum (bread wheat). Its description in RNAcentral is "partial small subunit ribosomal RNA". The record is from RNAcentral. Lineage: Eukaryota; Viridiplantae; Streptophyta; Magnoliopsida; Poales; Poaceae.
AUGCUGAUUAUGUUGAUUGUGAUGUGGUACCUAUGCAAGCAUGUUCCUUAUUACUUGGUAGACCAUGGCAAUUUGAUAAAAAUUCUGUACACCAUGGUAGAAACAAAUCACUAUACUCUUGUUCAUAAGGAUAAAAAUAUUACUUUGCUUCCUAUGACUCCUGAUUCCAUUUUGACAGAUGAUAUUAAUAGAGCUAAUAAAGCACAACAGGAGAAGAAUAAGAGUGAAAAUCAGAUUGUGGCAAAAGAAUUUGAGCAACAAAUGAAGCAUAAUAAUAAACCAUCUAGUGUUGCUUCUGAAAUUAAAUUGAAAAGUGCAUGUUUAUUUGCCACCAAAUCUGAUAUUGAUGAGCUAGAUUUCAGCAAAUCUGUUUGCUAUGCUUUUGUGUGCAAAGAGGCAUUAUUUUCAUUCGAGGACGUGCCUUCCUCUUUGCCUCCUGCUGUCACUAACAUUUUGCAGGAGUUCGCUGACGUUUUUCCACAAGACGUGCCACCGGGAUUACCGCCUAUUCGAGGGAUUGAGCAUCAGAUUGACUUAAUUCCCGGUGCUUCACUGCCAAACCGUGCACCAUACCGUACCAAUCCAGAGGAGACGAAGGAGAUUAUGCGUCAAGUACAAGAGCUUCUCGACAAAGGUUAUAUACGUGAAUCCCUUAGUCCUUGUGCUGUUCCUAUUAUUCUAGUGCCGAAAAAGGAUGGUACAUCACGUAUGUGUGUUGAUUGUAGAGGCAUUAAUAAUAUUACUAUUUGUUAUCGUCAUCCUAUUCCUAGGCUAGAUGAUAUGCUUGAUGAAUUGAGUGGCUCUACAAUAUUCUCCAAAGUUGAUUUGCGUAGUGGCUACCAUCAAAUUCGUAUGAAAUUGGGAGAUGAAUGGAAAACAGCAUUUAAAACUAAGUUUGGAUUAUAUGAGUGGUUAGUCAUGCCUUUUGGGUUAACUAAUGCACCUAGUACUUUCAUGAGAUUAAUGAACGAAGUUUUACGUGCUUCCAUUGGACGAUUUGUGGUAGUUUACUUUGAUGACAUAUUGAUUUAUAGCAGAUCUACGUGA